This 2076-nucleotide ribosomal RNA is filed under the name Triticum aestivum (bread wheat). RNAcentral describes it as "partial small subunit ribosomal RNA". Lineage: Eukaryota; Viridiplantae; Streptophyta; Magnoliopsida; Poales; Poaceae. The record is from RNAcentral.
AUGGAAGAUGUUGAGAUUUUUUACAAGGCUUAUGCACACAAUGUUGGAUUUUCAGUCAGAAUUGGGCAGAAAAAGUCCAUAGAUGAUGUGGUGGUCUGGAGGCGAUUUCCUUGUUCGAAAGAAGGUUUCCGACGAAGGGAGGAGGAACGCAAGAAGGAUUUGAAGGGAGGGAAGAUAAGAACACAUGCAAGAAAGAUUACUAUAUGUGGUUGUGAAGCCAUGAUAACUGUCAAGCGUAUGCAGGAUGGCAAAUACUCAAUAUCAGAUUUUCACGAAGAACACACCCAUCAAUUUAUCACACCCACCAAGCAACAUUUAAUCAAUUCAAAUAGAGAAGUCAGCGAGAAGGUCAAGACCACACUAUUCACAUGUCACGCAGCUAGUAUUGGCACAUCUGGAGCCUUUCGAUUGCUUCGUGUUGGUGAGGGUGAAUUUCAGUUUGUGGGGUGCACGAAGAGAGACUUGCAUAAUUAUCACCGUGACAUGAGAAGUACUUUCAAGGAUACAGAUGCUCAAAUGUUUAUUGACAACCUCAGAAAGAGGAAGCAAAUCAACCCAGGAUUCUUCUUUGAGUAUGUUCUUGAUGAUAAAAAUCAAUUGAAACGUGUGUUUUGGGCAAAUGCAUUUUGUAGAAAGAAUUAUGCUUUAUUUGGAGAAACGGUGUCUUUUGACUCCACAUACAACACAAAUCAGUACAAGAUGAUUUUUUGUCCAUUCACAGGAAUAAACCACCAUAUGGGAUCUGUUUUCUAUGGUGCUGCCUUGAUUAUUGAUGAGAAAGAAGAGUCGUACCGGGUGUUUGAAACAUUUUUGAAAGCCAUGGAUGGGGCAACACCGAGGCUUAUAGUAACUGAUGAAGAUGCUAGCAUGAAGGCUGCCAUUGAUAUAGUUAUGCCAAACACCGUCCAUAGGUUAUGCAUGUGGCACAUAAUGAGAAAGCUUCCAGAAAAGGUUGGUCCUUCACUGAAAGAGGAUGAACAUUUUUACAACUCAGUUAAUGCAUGUGUAUGGGGUUCUGAAAGCCCAGCUGAAUUUGAGGCAAAGUGGUCUUCCAUGAUUUCUGAAUUUGGUCUUGAAGAAAACACAUGGUUUGCUAGGAGAAAUGAAAUUCGUGACUCAUGGAUACCAGCCUACUUUAGAGGUGUAUUCUUGGGUGAAACUCUGAGAACCACUUCGAGGUCAGAGAGUGCUAACUCAUUCUUUAAUCACUUUAUUGGUUACAAGCAUGCUUUGGUGGAGUUUUGGAUUAGGAUUGGUACAGCCCUGGAAGAACAAUGUCAGAAUGAACUCAAGGCUGAUCAUGAUUGCCUCAACUCCAUGUCUCCACUGAUUACAUCAUGGGAGAUCGAGAAGCAUGCAAGCAUAUACUUCACCCAUGAGGUUUUCAAAGCUUUUCAGAAGGAGGUGCGUGCGGCUAGAGAUCACUGCUUAAUUGAAAUCAUAUUGCAGGAGGGUGAUGUGAAAACCACGGUUGUAGGAGGUGAUCGCUCUUACAAGUCUAGAGAAGUUAAGUUCAACACAACAUCCAUGAGUGCUCACUGCUCUUGCAUGUUAUUUGAGACACGUGGAAUUCUAUGCCGACAUAUCAUCGUGGUUUUGAGAGGUGCAAAAAUUAAUGAGCUACCAAGCCAUUUCAUUCUAGAUAGCUGGAAGAAAACAGUUAACAGGAGGUCACUAUACGAUAGUGGUGGCAACUUGCUUGAAGAGAAUGAGAGGUUACUGCCAAUAAUCCUAGUAGACAAGAUGAAUUCGAGGCAUACAUUGGUUGUAGUAUGCCUAAUGAAGUUGAAAUUUAUCCACCAACUAAUGUGCAUACAAAGGGGAGGUGCAAAAGAAUUAAGGGACACUUAGACAAGGGUGGAGAAGGGAAACAAAAAAAGGAUGGAGAAGGGAAGCAAAACAAAAAUGGAGAGCGGAAGAAAAAUGCCGGAGGACCGAAAAAGCCUCGCACGUGUGGGACUUGUAAGAAGGUUGGCUUCCAUGAUAGUCGUAGUUGCCCCAACAAGAACAUUAGAUCCGAAUAGGUAUUUUCCAUACAGUAGUUCUUAUCUAUGUAUAUUCGCUUUCAAAAGGUGA